This 2266-nucleotide ribosomal RNA is filed under the name marine sediment metagenome. RNAcentral's name for it is "bacterial LSU rRNA". It matches the Rfam family "Bacterial large subunit ribosomal RNA", at positions 14 to 2316 of the family's 2925-position model. The record is from RNAcentral.
AGUGCAAACGGUGGAUGCCUUAGCAGCUAGAGGCGAUGAAGGACGUAGUAACUUGCGAUAAGCUUCGGGGAGUUGGUAACAAACUUUGAUCCGGAGAUUUCCGAAUGGGAAAACCCAUCUAGAAUAAUCUAGAUAUCUGUAACUGAAUUCAUAGGUUACAGAGGCAAACGCGGAGAAUUGAAACAUCUUAGUAACCGUAGGAAAAGAAAUCAAACGAGAUUCUGUUAGUAGCGGCGAGCGAAAGCGGAACAGCCCUUAAGCUUUUUAUUGGUUAGUGGAAUGGUCUGGAAAGGCCUGUCGUAGAAGGUGAUAACCCUGUACACAAAAACUAAUUUAAAGUGAAAUCGAGUAGGUCGGGACACGAGAAAUCUUGACUGAAUAUGGGGGGACCAUCCUCCAAGGCUAAAUACUCCUAGCUGACCGAUAGUGAACCAGUACCGUGAGGGAAAGGCGAAAAGAACCCCGGCGAGGGGAGUGAAAUAGAACCUGAAACCGUGUGCGUACAAGCAGUAGGAGCCCAUUUAUUGGGUGACUGCGUACCUUUUGUAUAAUGGGUCAGUGAGUUACUUUUAGUGGCAAGCUUAACUUUCUUAGGGAGGCGAAGGGAAACCGAGUCUUAAUAGGGCGUUUAGUCGCUAGGAGUAGACCCGAAACCAGACGAUCUAUCCAUGGCCAGGGUGAAGGUGGGGUAAUACCUACUGGAGGCCCGAACCCACCUAUGUUGAAAAAUGGGGGGAUGAGCUGUGGAUAGGAGUGAAAGGCUAAUCAAGUUCGGAGAUAUCUCGUUCUCCCCGAAAUCUAUUUAGGUAGAGCCUCUCAUAUUACUGUUGGGGGUAGAGCACUGUUUCGGCUAGGGGGUCAUCCCGACUUACCAAACCGAUGCAAACUCCGAAUACCAACAAGUACAGUGAGGGAGACAGACUGCGGGUGCUAACGUCCGUAGUCGAGAGGGAAACAACCCAGAUCGCCAGCUAAGGUCCCAAAGUAUUAUUAAGUGGGAAACGUUGUAGGAAGGCCCAAACAGCUAGGAGGUUGGCUUAGAAGCAGCCAUCCUUUAAAGAAAGCGUAACAGCUCACUAGUCGAGUCGGCCUGCGCGGAAGAUGUAACGGGGCUAAAUAAUACACCGAAGCUGCGAAUGAAUAUUUAUAUUCAUGGUAGGGGAGCGUUCUGUAUGCCACUGAAGGUAAAUCGAGAGGUUUAUUGGAGGUAUCAGAAGUGAGAAUGCUGACAUAAGUAACGAUAAGAGAGGUGAAAAACCUCUCCGCCGAAAACCCAAGGUUUCCUGUCCAACGUUAAUAGGGACAGGGUGAGUCGACCCCUAAGGCGAGGGCGAAAGCCGUAGUCGAUGGGAAAUAGGUUAAUAUUCCUAUACUUCUUGUUACUGCGAUGGAGUGACGGAGAAGGCUAGGCCAGCAAGGCGAUGGUUGUCCUUGUUUAAGGUUGUAGGUUGGGAUUUUAGGAAAAUCCGAAAUUCUAAGACUGAGAACUGAUGACGAUCAUUUCUUUUAGAAAUGAGAAGUGGUUGAUGCCAAGCUUCCAGGAAAAACUUCUAAGCUUCAGGUAAAAAGGAACCGUACCGUAAACCGACACAGGUGGUCAGGUAGAGAAUACUAAGGCGUUUGAGAGAACUCUGGUGAAGGAACUAGGCAAAAUGGUACCGUAACUUCGGGAGAAGGUACGCCCUCAUUAGGUGAAGAGACUUGCUCUCAGAGCGGAAGAGGGUCGAAGAUACCAGGUGGCUGCGACUGUUUACUAAAAACAUAGCACUCUGCUAACACGAAAGUGGACGUAUAGGGUGUGACGCCUGCCCGGUGCCGGAAGGUUAAUUGAUCGGGUUAGCCCUUGUGGCGAAGCUCGUGAUUGAAGCCCCGGUGAACGGCGGCCGUAACUAUAACGGUCCUAAGGUAGCGAAAUUCCUUGUCGGGUAAGUUCCGACCUGCACGAAUGGCGUAACGAUGGCCACACUGUCUCCACCAGAGACUCAGUGAAAUUGAAAUCGCUGUUAAGAUGCAGCGUACCCGCGGCUAGACGGAAAGACCCCGUGCACCUUUACUACAGCUUUACACUGAAUUUUGAAUAUAUUUGUGUAGGAUAGGUGGGAGGCUAUGAAGCGUAAACGCCAGUUUGCGUGGAGCCAACCUUGAAAUACCACCCUGAUAUCUUUGGAGUUCUAACCCAGGUCCGUUAUCCGGAUCGGGAACCGUGUAUGGUGGGUAGUUUGACUGGGGCGGUCUCCUCCUAAAGAGUAACGGAGGAGUACAAAGG